Molecule: long non-coding RNA, 363 nt
Organism: Physella acuta
Lineage: Eukaryota; Metazoa; Mollusca; Gastropoda; Physidae
Source: RefSeq, a predicted model, not a curated record
GUCCUCACCCUUAUUGAUGACUCAGUGUACUUGCAGUACGUUUUCGUCGUCCUCACCCUUAUUGAUGACUCAGUGUACUUGCAGUACGUUUUCGUCGCUGUGAAUAGUUCGCAGGGUCUCUUCAUACUUUGCUUCCAGUGUCUAGGACAAGAACAGGUUCGGGAAGCACUCAGGAACUUAUGGAGAAGGCAUACUUCAUUUUGUGGUGCCAAUUGAGGAUAAAAUUAAUGCCAGUUUAACUAUAUAUUCUGAUGUAUUAAGAGGUCACCCUGCAAAACAAAAAGUGUGAACUAUCAAGUUUAUAAUAUAAUUUUAAUUGUUUUUAAAAGCUCAAAGUUUUAACUGUCAAGAUAAUUAUUUUAC